UUAAGUUCAGCGGGUAAUCCCGCCUGAUUUCAGAUCAAAGGUAAAGGGGUAGCCGCAAACUUGGGCAAACCAAUCCCCACACUAUAACAAAUCAGAUUUAUCAAGUGCGAAAGACCUUUUGGCCUACCCUUGCGACAAUUUUUCCAGCCGAGACAACUCCCACAAGAGGAGCGCUGGGCCACCAGUUAUGCUCUUUCCCC
Molecule: unclassified non-coding RNA, 200 nt
Filed under: Absidia sp. (in: mucoromycotan fungi)
Lineage: Eukaryota; Fungi; Mucoromycota; Mucoromycetes; Mucorales; Cunninghamellaceae
Description: Absidia sp. (in: Fungi) partial internal transcribed spacer 2
Source: RNAcentral